Molecule: long non-coding RNA, 4548 nt
Organism: Passer domesticus (house sparrow)
Lineage: Eukaryota; Metazoa; Chordata; Aves; Passeriformes; Passeridae
Exons: 4
Source: RefSeq, a predicted model, not a curated record
AUUGUCUACCACUAUUAUUAGCUGCCAGUUAUUGAGUGCCAGCAAUGUGUUCUCCUGCCCUACAGUAGGAGACAGAGCUUUCUCAUCUUCAAAGAGCUCUCAGGAGAGAAGGGAAAUGGAGCUUUGUGUACAUUCUUUGCAAAUACACAGGCUUUCAUCAGAGGCACUUCAGCUGCCCCAAAUCACAGCUUCUCCUAUGACAACAAACAUGUCAAGAUGCGUAAUAAAAGCAGAGCUAGAGCAGCGAACACCUGGCAUGCUGGUCACGCAGAAUGACUUUACAUUGUAAUCAUCUUGUCAAGGAGCUGAAAAUAGCAUUGUGCUGCAGUGUUCACUGGUGCUUCAGGAAGGAAGACAAUAACCAGCAUUUGGCAUCAGCCUACACUCUAACUGAAUGCCAAUUUGUCCCUGGUGGAGCCGGCAGCCCCUGCCAGCUCUCUGCUCAGCACAGGAAUAGCCAGAGGGCUGGGAUGGAUGCACUGGUAAUGCAACACGUGGACUGUUUGUUUGGAGAACUCAAACGAAAGCAGGCAGUAUGAUCAAGAUAAAGCUUUUAAUGAUGUUUGCCUUAUUAUAGUUAUGAAUGCUCUCUAUUGAUUCUCCCCCUCAUUUACCCAAAUUGCUAAGUUGUUUUCAAUUUCUUCCUACAAUUAACAUGAAUGAAGCUGACUGGUGGCUGGCUAGAAAUCUUUGCUACUCAAUCUUCAUUCAUUAACAGAUGUCAUGAACAGUGGUCAGGCACAGAAGAGGUGCCUAAAAUUUAUACCAUACAUGGAAACUAAAUGAAUGACCAAAUGCUUUAGAAAAGACUUGUUUAUUUUAGACUUUAAUUGGUGCAAAACCUGAUGACAUAUGACAACAGAACAGGGGUUUGACGUAAUUUGAACAACAAAAUGGAGUGCAGAAUUGUUCUACUGUGCCAGCCUGAGUUCCUGCCACAUUAUUGCCCUAAAAAUUGCUGUUGUCUCAUUUCUUCAGCACAGAUAUUCCUAGAGAGCAUAUAAGGAAGAACACACAGGAAUUCUAGCUGUCUUCUACUUACAUUUUUCUUAUUGACUUGAAAAAAAUAAUCGCUAAAAAUUUUUAGCUAUACAAAAAAUUCUGAGGUGGUAUGUAAUAGAGAUGUUGGACUAGUGGUCACUGAGUAAUUUGAAUAAUUUGUUGACUGGCAAGAAGCCACAAAGUAGGUGUACUGAGGCCAAGAAGAAGCCAUGACUUUCCAAUUACACACCACUGGCUACAUUUUCAUUUAGUAUACAACAACAGCAGCUGUUUUUUUGCUGCCUUUCUUUUGCAUGCCUACAUCAUUGACUUUCUCCUUAGUAUUGAUCAUUAACAUUUCUAUCCAAAUUUAGCUCUUUUAAGGGGAUGAAGAUGAGUGGACAGUUGCUGCUCAGCUUGUUAACAGCUUGCAUCAGUUAACUCUACCAAACACACUUCCUUCAAGUUCUAGAAACUCCACCUUUCUGACUUUGGAAAAGAAUUGGUGCUAUACCAGGAAAUACCAGAGAAAGCUCAGCUCAUAAUGAAAAUAUGUGAUCUGGAGCACAUUUCUGAUGAAGGAUAUACACAGACUUAAUGAUAAAGGAAAACCAAAAUAUAUACAAGGCGAGCCUCUUCUUUUCUCUUUCCCUCUCCCUUGAUGGCACUCCUACAAUUGCUCUUAUUCCAUUAGCUGUGUUCUGGAUGAAAAAACUUUUUAAAGAGCCAUAAGAAUGAUAAAGAAUUGGAAAAUAUUUGUAUAAUAUAAAGCCUAAGAAGCUCAGUGCAUUUAACUUACUUGAAGAAAGGAAGAAGGUACAGGAAUAUAUUCUAUAAAUUCUUGUAACAGUAAGAUUAGAAGACACAGCUCUUCAAUCUAUCCCACAAAUGUGUAACAGUCUCUAAUGGAAGAUAAUAUUAAAUAAAUCUAGCCUAGGAGGGAGGUGCAAUUUAAAAAGUGCAGGUAGUUAAACAGAGGACCAAUUUUUCAGCUUUAGAAUAGAUACUGAUUUCACACAAUCUUACAACACAAAUGGGCCUAUUUAUAAAAUAUAUUUCUCUGGCUGUUAAAAUAUAUAUAUAAAAUAUAUUUAACUAUGGCUGUUGAAAUCAGCUAGCAAAGUGACAGAUUUCCCGAAAUUCUACAUUGAAGGUCUGACCACAAAAAUCCUUUAUAAUCUUAGUUUUAGUAUGUUUUCUGCUGUUACUUCCAGAAUUACUGACACCAGAUAAGUGCAAGUGUAUGUGGUCCCAAUUGCAAAGUAUUUGUUUUUUAAAAAGUACUCCCAUCAACAGUUAGCACUCCUGCAUGGAGAUUAGUUGGAUCUUACUGAAGUACUUCUUAUUAAAUGCUGUUAAACAUUGUCAGUUCUUAUAUGAAACAAAACAUUUUAAAUGAAAAUGUGUGCAUUUUAAAAUAUAUAGCGUUCAUGUUUGCACAAGUUCUUUUGCACCAGAAUAUUAGUAAGCCCCAUGUACAGAGAGAGAGAGGGAAAACAAAAAUCGUGGAAACAAUGCUAGCAGGAAUGAAUACAUACACUCCACUCCCGCAACAGUUUCAGUCCCUGUCUUGGAAAACCAGAUGUUGCCUGUUUGCCUUCUAGUGGCUUGAAUUUAGAAUAGCUUCAGCCAAGAAUAGGCUUUGCAAAAGAGCUAAGUGAAACUGAGAAGAUCACAAUCACUUACUAUUAUUAUAGCAAGCUCUGAAAUGUCAAUAUGCCUCUGGGGGGAAACAUCUGUGAAAUGCCACAUACUCUAUUAAGAAUGUGUAAAAGAUCAGUGGUACAUGUGUAUGUAGCAACUCCAGAGAAUCCUGAUUUCAAAAAGACAAAUGUUUUCCAAGUAGAUAUGGCUUCUCUGAUAAUGGCUUCUUUUCAUUCAAGCAGCUACAUCGAUAUUUUUGGAAAUCUUUGUCACAGCUGCAUCUCUGAAACAGUGGUCUCUGUGGAGCUGCUCUACUUAGUGUGGGAUGGGUCUCCCCUGGCACAACUGGGCCUACUGAAGAUAGGAAAAAGACUGAGUGUGCUUUACAUGUCAUAACGUAAUUUGAAAUGACCUUCACACACUCCUGUCAUUCCGUCAUGGAAUAUUUGUGACUGAGGCUGUAGGCAAGGACUCACAUCUAAGUUGCUGCAAUAUAAAGAGACUACAACAGAUAAUCCUGCUUCUGCUGCUACUGAACAUGUAAACACGUGUUUCUCUGUUUCAUCUAAGGAAACUACAUUGAUUUACAUUCCUGCUAAGGGUUAAACUACAGCAAUAUAUGAAUUUACAUCUGAACUAACCUUUUAUGAUGCGAUAUUUUAAUAUGUACAAAACUGCUCCUCUUAGUGAAUGAAAACUGCUCUAUUAGUGUGAAUGUAUUUGUUUCUGAAAUAUAUUUUUAAUUUGUAGCACAUUUUUACUUGUUAACCAUCUAAACUAUAUUUAAAUUUACAGGAUGACCUUUCACAUUAAUAACACCCUCAGUUCCUUGUUGAGAGGCAUAAACUCAUUCAGAGAUGACCCAUGUCUGUUUGGACAUCAAGGCUGCUGUCCAAUAUUGCUGGUCUUUUUCCUCUCCACUCUGGAAGACUAGUAACUAGCUCUGUGCUAGUUGGACUAAAUUAGUCUGCACUACUCUGAUCUGUUCUGCUGAACACUGAAGGCUUACCAGAAAUCUCUGUUGCUUAUAUGCUGUUCUGCUAAAUUUAAGUGGGUCAGAAACUAUCACCAUGCUGUCACAAAAGCUAUUUUUAAACUUAAUACAGCUCAGAGCUGGAUUAAUGAGUGCACAUCCCUCUAUCUGUGCAUGAGCUCAGUAUGGUCCAGCAGUAAAUUGUGCCUUUGGUAAGCACACGUGAGCGGCAUCUUUCUGUGUCAGUGCUCAUGGCCACCUGUUCAGAUGGCCUAGUGCCCUCUUGCAGUGCGGUCAGACAGCUGACUUUGGGUGCUCAUAAAAGCAAGGACAGGUUUAACCAUACAAGGAAUAUCACUGCAGAUGUCAGCUCUUCAACAAGGCUUCCUGUGGCAACAUACAUAGCAAAUUCCCAUUUCUUGUAUGCUUCUUGUGUGUGUCAGAGUGGUCAAGAAUGCCAAAUUUCUGCUGCAUAAUUCUGGCUGCCAAAAAUAUACGCAUUCUGCAUUGAGAGAAGAUGGGAGAAGAAUACAGAGAGCUGGAUUGCUCCUGUAUCAAUUUCUCUUAAUAAUUAGGUAUUCUAAUACCUAAUUAUUAAGAGAAAUAAUUCUCUUUCUAGGUAGUCUAAUUUCACAGAUCAAAAGAGUAGAUUUUAUUUUCAAUAUGGAAACACUUUUCAUACAUAUGUGAUGGAUCUUUUUUUACAUGAGUUACAAACCCAAGUAUUCAUUUUCUACACAGAAGCCUUCCACAGCUGCACUAAGACAACAAUUCUCAAGUGAUCAGCAGCUGUCUCUGUGUGAGAUGUGGCAGAAGCACUAUGCAAUAGGAAUACUUCUCCCAGCUGUAGUAAGACUGUGUAAGGAUGUUCAAUUACUCAAUGUAUUUCACUUAAUUCAGGUUAUGAAUGAGCCAUUAUUCCAUUAAACACCUGUAUAAGAACAUUUAAA